Molecule: ribosomal RNA, 440 nt
Filed under: uncultured bacterium
Lineage: Bacteria
Description: partial 16S ribosomal RNA
Rfam family: Bacterial small subunit ribosomal RNA
Source: RNAcentral
CCUACGGGCGGCAGCAGUAGGGAAUAUUGCUCAAUGGGGGAAACCCUGAAGCAGCAACGCCGCGUGGAGGAUGAAGGUUUUCGGAUUGUAAACUCCUUUUGUUAGAGAAGAUAAUGACGGUAUCUAACGAAUAAGCACUGGCUAAAUCUGUGCCAGCAGCCGCGGUAAUACGGAGGGUGCAAGCGUUACUCGGAAUCACUGGGCGUAAAGAGCGCGUAGGCGGGAUAGCAAGUCAGAUGUGAAAUCCUAUGGCUUAACCAUAGAACUGCAUUUGAAACUGUUAUUCUAGAGUAUGGGAGAGGUAGGUGGAAUUCUUGGGGUAGGGGUGAAAUGCGUAGAGAUCAAGAGGAAUACUCAUUGCGAAGGCGACCUGCUAGAACAUAACUGACGCUGAGGCGCGAAAGCGUGGGGAGCAAACAGGAUUAGAUACCCCUGUAGUC